RNAcentral lists this ribosomal RNA (494 nucleotides) under uncultured bacterium. Its description in RNAcentral is "partial 16S ribosomal RNA". It matches the Rfam family "Bacterial small subunit ribosomal RNA", at positions 29 to 507 of the family's 1533-position model. The record is from RNAcentral.
ACGAACGCUGGCGGCGUGCCUAAUACAUGCAAGUAGAACGCUGAAGGAGGAGCUUGCUUCUCUGGAUGAGUUGCGAACGGGUGAGUAACGCGUAGGUAACCUGCCUGGUAGCGGGGGAUAACUAUUGGAAACGAUAGCUAAUACCGCAUAAGAUUGACUAUUGCAUGAUAGUCAGUUAAAAGGUGCAAUUGCAUCACUACCAGAUGGACCUGCGUUGUAUUAGCUAGUUGGUGGGGUAACGGCUCACCAAGGCGACGAUACAUAGCCGACCUGAGAGGGUGAUCGGCCACACUGGGACUGAGACACGGCCCAGACUCCUACGGGAGGCAGCAGUAGGGAAUCUUCGGCAAUGGACGGAAGUCUGACCGAGCAACGCCGCGUGAGUGAAGAAGGUUUUCGGAUCGUAAAGCUCUGUUGUAAGAGAAGAACGAGUGUGAGAGUGGAAAGUUCACACUGUGACGGUAUCUUACCAGAAAGGGACGGCUAACUACGUG